GAAUCCUGGCUGUGUUUAAUUGCCGAGUGGCUGCCAGGCUCAAGAUCUGAAGAAAAGAUCGGGAAUCACUCUGAGCCGCCGCGUCUGUCAAUGCUUUACGAGUCCCAGCCCCGAGAAAAGAGAGAGAGGAGGUGAAGAGAGGAAGUGUUUGGAGUUUGGGAAAGGGCGAGCGAGUCAUUUUUAUGCAGUGGGAACAAGCAGUGCUGGGAAGAAGCGAGAGAGGUACAGAGAGGCUUUGAGAGAGGUAGAGCAGGAAAGGGGAGGAGGAACGGUGAAGUAAGACCUCAAGUGAGUGAAAGACUUAGAAGGAGGAAAAAAAGUGGAGGGAGGAAAAGAAAAGAGGCCCAUCGCUAUAGAAAGAGCAACAAGAGCGGGAAAGUGGGAAAACAAGAGUAAGAGAGAAAAACCAAGCAGGAGGAAGGAGGGGGGGGGUGAGACAGGCAGAACAAAAAGUUGUUGAGGGGAAGUUGCGAGAGAGAAACGGUGUGUGCAAGAAAGCAAUAAACGAGGGCAGACGCUAGACGAGAAGCUGCGCAGAUGAGAAAAACAGCCGCCGUGGAUGGCCUGGGUGGAGAGAGAAGCAGAAGGAAACCAGUUGCUUUUUAAGUUCUUCGUCCAGGCGCAUUUUGCACUGGCAUGCACUCGGACGACGCGGUAUCAAGACAGCGUGUGUUCCAGACACCAUCCUGCCACCUUUGCCUGCAGCGCUUAAGCGCACGGCCUCAGAACGACCCAAAUGGCGUAGCUCACCGGACGGCCGUCCUCCCUUCCCCGAAGGACUUGGGGAUAGCAGACUACAGACCGGAGAGGACGGGGUCAUCGCCACGCCAGGUACACGCAGAGGAAACUCACCGUCCGUUCUACUCAUGGGGGGACGUGAGGCCAGCCAGGUGGGAUACGCCUUUGGACUCUCUGCACGCCCCCUGCACGUGUGUGAGGGAGAUACGCAGAGACUGCGGGUGCAUCCAGCAGUGGUAUUACCCAGAACACUCCUUCAACGGAUGCCGUGUUAAUCCACACCCGAAGGUCAGAGGUCAGCGGUACUACAGGGAGGUCUUGUACGUCUCAGAGCAGCACUACAGGGGUCCCGAACAAGGAGAUCUACAGGAUGAUAGUAGUAUGCCUUCCUAUAAUGGACACUGUCAAAGGAGACGAGUAUCUUUCCAGAAUCAUGAGGAGCGACAUGGGUUCAAUGGUCCUGACACGAGCAGACAAUCCGGUCUGAAUUCACGCUGUAAUGGGACGGACUCUGGACAGGCCGCUUUCUUUCCAACCGAGGUUCCCCCGGGCAAGCUGGGCCGCUCGAGGGUGCUGAAGGUAAAUGAACCGGCGCAGGACAUAAGGAGAUCUCAGGGGAGCGAAAGCAACUGGAGGAAGAGCCAUGAAACAGUACGGGAACAGAUCAAACAAGUGGUCAAUGAGCUCGAGGAAGUACUGGGUGGUCUCAAACAGGUCCAGUUGGAGAUGAAAGAGGUUGUCCAACAGAUUGAUGUUCUGACGUCCGACAUUGACCUCGGUGAAGAUGACUCAAGUCCAUCCACCAGCUUCCUCCAAGAUGGACGUCACCGGAGCAGUCGGACAGCUGCUGUCGCUUCCAGCAAUCAGGAAUCCUCACCAGAGACUUCUGAUUCCUCCAUCACACAUGGCUCUGUUUCUGUGGAUUUGUUUCUUAUGAACAAUCCUUCAGUGAUGAGAAACCACACAAGCUCAUCUCCUCCUGAUCAGCGAGCCAUCACAGCUGAGAAUAACUUUAAUGCAUUCACGCAACAGACCUCAGAGUCUCACCGGACGGGGAGAACAGUCAACGGAACCUGUCUGCCGCACCCGCCCCCCAAAAUCAGAGCUAACGAAGAACUAGAGAAUCAUGACUGCAUAAAGAGUAAGAACCACCGGCCCCCACCCUAUCCUCAGAAUGGCCAGGUGAAAACACGGACAGCCCCCCUCUCUGAAAAACAUAAGACCCUCUCCUCUACUAUAGUGUAGAGAAUCUCUUAUCACCAAAGACGACACAACUAAACACACACACACAGGUAAACGGACAAAUGUAACAUUCACACUUUGAUGAAGGCCAACAUACAGUAUGUAUUCAUUUACAAAGGAACUUCUCCCAAACGCUCGGUGAUGAAACUCAGGAACACAAAAGAAGAUAUUUUGAAGAACAUUAAUAACCGAACAACACCGAACCCAUUGACUUCCAUUGUGUGAACACAAAACCACUGAGACUUUCUCAAAAUAUCUUCAUUUUCACACAAGGACCGAUGCCACAAAACUAAUCUGGGGACGGCAAAGCUCCAAACCAAAGCAUGACGACUUCUAUUUCCAGUGGAAAACUCCAUAAUCCUCUGCAGCGUUUCAAUGUCAGAUGUGGGUGUUCUGAUAUCAUAUCUCUGAUAUCCAACAACAGAGAUCAUUGACGUAAUUUAAUAUAAAACUACACACCCGUCUUCUGUUUAAAUUAAUGUUUAUGUGCUCUUCACGUGUUUCUUGAGACCUGAAAGACAAUGGUCGUGUUGCUUUUCUUUGUACGUGCCCGCCUGCCCGGUGAUCAACAGAACGUGUGAAUGGUUGGGAUUCUGAAAUAGGAAAUUAUUUUUCAACUUUUCACUUUAAACGUGUCUUCACCACCAAGUGUUGUCAUUCCCAUACUAUUAAACCAGUUAGUUAGCAGUGAUGGAUUUAAACUGGUCAUCAGCUGAACUAGUUUAGUUUUAACUAAUCAAGGCUGAUUUUUCUCAGCAGGGUCUCUCUCUCUCUCUUUCGCCCCUUGCAAAAAUAAGUACGCUCUCAGUUUAGUAAGUACACUUAAGUUCACAAAGUUGAUACUAAUAUCAGUGUCUAAUAGGGAGCCAAAGAGAUGACGUGUAUUUAUGCCAACCCGAAAGUUAGCGGCGCACGGGUUCCCUCGAUCAAAAGCCUAUGCAUUUUCCCCAUAGACUUUUGGAAAAUCGCAAAAAAUAAGCUGUGUUUAACAAAGGGUUAUGACACUUACACGUUUUGUCUAUCAAGAUAAUCUUUACAAGUUGACACCACAUAGGCCUGUGUUGCUUUUGAAGCCUAAAUAUAAUCGGCAUAAGUGAAAAGCUAACACAAUGCCAUCAACAGACAACACUUCGCUCUAAAUCAAUGUCACUACCACCAAGCCUCCGACAACUCUUUCAAACUUUAUUAAAAAUGUGUUCCCUGGUCAGUGCCGAUCCUAGAAGUCUGGGGACCCUAAGCAAACCUUUGUGGGGGCCAUUGUCAUAGUUAAAUUUAGAUAAACAUAGCUGUAAACUAUAAAAAAUAAUAAAUCAAUUAACACAGCUGUCAAAAAAACUUUAACACGCAAAUGCGGUGUUUACUAACCAAAUGAGUGAUUAACAAAAAUAAAACAUGAUAUAGUUUAAAGCUAAGCAUACGAAAACACAUCAAUAAUUCUCUAAAUGUGAUGACACAAAAAUGACACCUUAUCAUGGGCAAACGAAAUACAGUGGUGUGCAUUAUAGCUGAGGCUCACAUGAACACUGUACAGUUGGUUUUGUGACUGUAAGUCAUUCCCUUUAAAUGCUAUUUAAGUUAGAAACGUGUACAUGAAUGUGUAGCCUAUUUAACUUGGGAGACGGUCCCUAAAUUUAGACUAUCUAACGUCCAACGUCAAACUAACUUUAUGCCAGUGGAUAGGCUAUACUAAUACUGAAUUUGUAAAUCUGUACUUGCAUAAUUAGGCCAAACUAAAUAAGACUAUGAAAAUAGUAUAAAAACACAUGCUUUGUUCUUUUGCUUCGCGUUGUUGGCGUUUUUUUUCUGCUACAGACGGAUAGCUCCGUUUUAAAGCCAUGGCCAUAUGUAAAGACAUCACGCGCAUGUCAUCACCUGCCGCGCACUAAAUGAUGUCCGCGACCGAGUAAAGUAGCCUAAUUAAUUAAAUUAAGUAUUAAAAAGGAAAUUUCCAAAUGAUUCCAGUGAAGGUGAAUCCGCAAGUUAUAAAAAUAGCGUCUUGUUUACAUUCUAGUGUUUUUGAUUCGGUAGGCUACUCAAGAGGCCCCCUGGUGGUGUAGAGGCCCUACAACCUGCGUAGUCUGCGUAUAGGAAGGAUCGGCUCUGUCCCUGGUGAGUAAUUACUCCGUGAAUGAAUCCACAUCUACGUUUUAAGAGAUUUGUGCCCAUGUUGCAUUAUGUGUGAGCUUUAUAUGCGCGACGUUAACGUCCCCGCCAAAGGAAGUAGUCGCUUUUAGCAACUUGUUAGCAACCUUCGUUUUUAAGACACAAUAAGGCUUUAAUAAAAUGACAAGCGGGUUAUAAUUGGUGUAUUUUAUGUCAUAGAAUAAACCAUGAAAAUAAUAAACCAUGAAAAUAUUUAGAGGUUUUGUUAACCACAGACCUUAUUUCGGGCAAUUGAUCAAAAACCCAUUAAAAAAAACUCAUAGACAUUGGAGCGAUGGAACCGGAAGUCCUAAAAUGCUAACUCGCUUCCGGUUUUGCAUACAAAAUUACGUCAUCUCCGAGCCUUCAUGUCUAUUUCAAAACUACUUGGGACUAAAGUGGCCCACUUUUUUGUUUUUAAAAGUAUACUUUUGAGUGUUACAGUAGGUUUAAGUACACAAACAACUGUGUUUUUGUUUGUACUGUGACUAUACUACAAGUGAACUAAUAAUUAUUUUCACAUUUUUAGUCCAUGAAAGAACACUUUAAAGUAUACUCUCAAUGAACUACUUAGUGGGUUUUUUCUGUAGUUUCUGUGAAGUUUUCUUUAAAUAAACUUAACAUCAUACUUAUAGUUUACUGUUUAUAUGUUAUUUAUAUAAUAUUAUAGUUCAUAUAUAAACUAGAACAUGUACAUUUAUAAGAAAGUUUGCAAAAAAAAUAUUAAAAGACACCUACGUACAUAAGUGUAAUUUUUUGUGUAUUUCUGAGAAGUGGAUAAAACGUUUUAAAGAAGUAUAGCACACUUGAAUACACAUUUUGUAAAGGUCUCUCUCUCUCUCUCUCUCUAAGAUUUUUAUGCUUGACAAAUCUGUGACCAGGGCUGCGUUCAGCCCCGACAAAACCUUUUUUAAACGGAAACGGUGGUGCGGUUGAACACCCUGUUGUGAUGACGCAAGAUUUGAACUAUGGCAGCUGAGAAGGCCAUUCUUUGUGUUCUUUUUGAAGAAUUUUCGGAGCCUGAUGAAAUCGGUAUGAAUACGUGUUGAAUACCGCAAAAUACAUCUCUUCUAAUAUCUUCAAUUGUUGCGUAUACCGAGCUGCAGCGGACACAUUUAAACGACUUUAGUUGAACCCAUUGUGCGAGCUGUCUCUUUAAUACCGCGUGAGUUAUAUACAUGUUGCUGCUGAUUGGGCUGACAUUCUUGACACACCCACCAAACAAGAGAAAACAGGCUCGUUUGAGAUGGCCAAAUUCUGCGCAGAACCGAUCACCGGUGAUCAGCGCGAGAUGCAUGCCGGUAAGAAAUGUGUCCGAGUAAUGUUGCUCUGAUGUCAUGCUGACGUGUGUCAAAAAACUCUCGCGACGGCCAGGCGGCUGUAUCGGAUUCUUCAGUCGGGCGCAGUUGCGCUCAACCAAUGAGUUACAGAAUUUACACAAUAUAGGAACUCCCCAGGCGCAGAAGGAUAAAUAUCACAUACAAUUUUGAAAUGUAUUUUUUUGGGAUAAACUGUAAAGUUGAAAUAGGAGGUUCUAAGUUUAAGCAUUCGUUUGUCAAAGAACAUAUCUAAAUUCUUUCGUACAGCCUUGACAUGGUUGAGCGUUUGUCUAAUAUAAGUUUUAGAACAUUUCUCACUUUUAAACUCACUUGGCCCAAGAAAAAUGCGAUAAAAACGUGAACGCGAUCUAUUCCAUUGCUGACGUUUCCAGUCGACUCGACAGCGCGAUUUGGGAAGUGUCCGUCUUGCCUGCGCUGUUUUCACUCCUCCCCUUACUGCAGCCGCCUACUCUCGUCUUAUUUUCAGGCGAGGCAAGGUGCAUCUCAAACAAGCCUAACGUAUCUCAAACCCUGUUGCACACCGUUGCAAACCGUUUCCAGGAAACGUGUCGUUCAACCCGGAAACCGUAGCAAAACGUUGUGCACCGGUUUGAGCUUGAACAUGCCUCUGAUAUCAUUGUUUUCUCUUUCAAAGGUAGCGCAUCAGAGAAAUAAUGCUGCUCUUAUGGAAAUGUAUGACUUUGUAACACAGAGCCAUGAGCUCUCAGAUAUAUGCAAACUAUUUGAUAUGAAAGACUGUACAUUUUAACAUGUUAAACACUUUUUUUAUGUUUUUAUUUUUUUAUUGAUCAGACCAAAGAUUUACAGGAUUUUUGUCAGAUAGGAAGGAUGAAUAGAUAUGCUAUAUUGCUCCAGAUCAUCUGAACACAUUACUGGAAUUAUUUAAGCAGCAUUUAAAAUCAGUAUAAGCCAUUUUUAUCGAUUGUUGCAAUCCUGUAAUUUCACACUGUGGUCAAUAGAGGACGCUGCAGGCCACAGAAAAAAAUCAUAAAGGAAACGUUUUAUAAAUGUGUAAAAAAACUCGCAUGAAAUAAAACAGCAAGUGUUUAAAAUGUGUUUUGAUGACUUCUGAUGUGAAUAUGUUUUAC
RNA transcript from Triplophysa rosa, 6550 nucleotides. RefSeq lists it as uncharacterized. Lineage: Eukaryota; Metazoa; Chordata; Actinopteri; Cypriniformes; Nemacheilidae. The record is from RefSeq and is a predicted model, not a curated record. The transcript has 4 exons.